AUUGAACGCUGGCGGCAGGCCUAACACAUGCAAGUCGAGCGGAAACGAGUUAUCUGAACCUUCGGGGAACGAUAACGGCGUCGAGCGGCGGACGGGUGAGUAAUGCCUAGGAAAUUGCCUUGAUGUGGGGGAUAACCAUUGGAAACGAUGGCUAAUACCGCAUAAUGCCUACGGGCCAAAGAGGGGGACCUUCGGGCCUCUCGCGUCAAGAUAUGCCUAGGUGGGAUUAGCUAGUUGGUGAGGUAAUGGCUCACCAAGGCGACGAUCCCUAGCUGGUCUGAGAGGAUGAUCAGCCACACUGGAACUGAGACACGGUCCAGACUCCUACGGGAGGCAGCAGUGGGGAAUAUUGCACAAUGGGCGCAAGCCUGAUGCAGCCAUGCCGCGUGUAUGAAGAAGGCCUUCGGGUUGUAAAGUACUUUCAGCAGUGAGGAAGGGGGUGUCGUUAAUAGCGGCAUCUCUUGACGUUAGCUGCAGAAGAAGCACCGGCUAACUCCGUGCCAGCAGCCGCGGUAAU
RNAcentral lists this ribosomal RNA (517 nucleotides) under Vibrio fortis. Its description in RNAcentral is "bacterial SSU rRNA". It matches the Rfam family "Bacterial small subunit ribosomal RNA", at positions 30 to 524 of the family's 1533-position model. Lineage: Bacteria; Pseudomonadati; Pseudomonadota; Gammaproteobacteria; Vibrionales; Vibrionaceae. The record is from RNAcentral.